CCUACGGGAGGCAGCAGUGGGGAAUAUUGCACAAUGGGCGAAAGCCUGAUGCAGCGACGCCGCGUGAGGGAUGACGGCCUUCGGGUUGUAAACCUCUUUCAGCAGGGAAGAAGCGCAAGUGACGGUACCUGCAGAAGAAGCACCGGCUAACUACGUGCCAGCAGCCGCGGUAAUACGUAGGGUGCGAGCGUUGUCCGGAAUUAUUGGGCGUAAAGAGCUCGUAGGCGGUCUGUCACGUCGGAUGUGAAAGCCCGGGGCUUAACCCCGGGUCUGCAUUCGAUACGGGCAGACUAGAGUGUGGUAGGGGAGAUCGGAAUUCCUGGUGUAGCGGUGAAAUGCGCAGAUAUCAGGAGGAACACCGGUGGCGAAGGCGGAUCUCUGGGCCAUUACUGACGCUGAGGAGCGAAAGCGUGGGGAGCGAACAGGAUUAGAUACCCUGGUAGUCCACGCCGUAAACGUUGGGAACUAGGUGUUGGCGACAUUCCACGUCGUCGGUGCCGCAGCUAACGCAUUAAGUUCCCCGCCUGGGGAGUACGGCCGCAAGGCUAAACUUAAAUGAAUUGACGG
RNAcentral lists this ribosomal RNA (567 nucleotides) under uncultured bacterium. RNAcentral's name for it is "bacterial SSU rRNA". It matches the Rfam family "Bacterial small subunit ribosomal RNA", at positions 338 to 916 of the family's 1533-position model. The record is from RNAcentral.